GUUUGCAACCUACCUCUAACUGGAGAAUAGCCCGAAGAAAUUCGGAUUAAUACUCCAUAAUACUAUGAUCUGGCAUCUUUUUAUAGUUAAAGCUCCGGCGGUUAGAGAUGGGCAUGCGUAACAUUAGCUUGUUGGUGAGGUAACGGCUCACCAAGGCUACGAUGUUUAGGGGGUCUGAGAGGAUGGUCCCCCACACUGGUACUGAGACACGGACCAGACUCCUACGGGAGGCAGCAGUGAGGAAUAUUGGUCAAUGGGCGCAAGCCUGAACCAGCCAUGCCGCGUGAAGGAUGACGGCGCUAUGCGUUGUAAACUUCUUUUGUACGGGAAGAAACACUUCUACGUGUAGAGGUUUGACGGUACCGUACGAAUAAGCAUCGGCUAACUCCGUGACAGCAGCCGCGGUAAUACGGAGGAUGCAAGCGUUAUCCGGAUUUAUUGGGUUUAAAGGGUACGCAGGCGGAAGAUUAAGUCAGUGGUGAAAUCCUGCAGCUUAACUGUAGAAUUGUCAUUGAUACUGGUUUUCUUGAAUGUGGUUGAGGUAGGCGGAAUGUGUAAUGUAGCGGUGAAAUGCUUAGAUAUUACACAGAACACCGAUUGCGAAGGCAGCUUACUAAGCCAUGAUUGACGCUGAGGUACGAAAGCGUGGGGAGCAAACAGGAUUAGAUACCCUGGUAGUCCACGCUGUAAACGAUGAUUACUCGUUGUUGGCAAUACAUCGUCAGCGACUGAGCGAAAGCAUUAAGUAAUCCACCUGGGGAGUACGCUCGCAAGAGUUAAACUCAAAGGAAUUGACGGGGGCCCGCACAAGCGGAGGAACAUGUGGUUUAAUUCGUUGAUACGCGAGGAACCUUACCUGGGCUUAAAUGCAAAACGACGGACCGGGAAUCUGGUCUUUCUUCGGACGGCUUGCAAGGUGCUGCAUGGCAGUCGUCAGCUCGUGCCGUGAGGUGUCGGGUUAAGUCCCAUAACGAGCGCAACCCUCAUCAUUAGUUGCCAGCGGGUAAUGCCGGGGACUCUAAUGAAACUGCCGGUGUAAACCGAGAGGAAGGUGGGGAUGACGUCAAGUCAGCACGGCCCUUAUGUCCAG
This 1090-nucleotide ribosomal RNA is filed under the name uncultured organism. Its description in RNAcentral is "bacterial SSU rRNA". It matches the Rfam family "Bacterial small subunit ribosomal RNA", at positions 117 to 1211 of the family's 1533-position model. The record is from RNAcentral.